Molecule: ribosomal RNA, 254 nt
Filed under: uncultured bacterium
Lineage: Bacteria
Description: partial 16S ribosomal RNA
Rfam family: Bacterial small subunit ribosomal RNA
Source: RNAcentral
GACAGAGGUGCCGAGCGUUAGGCGGAAUCACUGGGCUUAAAGCGUGUGUAGGCGGACUUCUAAGUACCUUGUGAAAUCCCACGGCUCAACCGUGGAACUGCUUGGUAUACUGGUCGUCUUGAGCCACCUAGGGGCAACCGGAACAAACGGUGGAGCGGUGAAAUGCGUAGAUAUCGGAAGGAAUACCGGUGGCGAAGGCGGCAUCCUGGACCGGCAUUGACGCUGAGUGAGCGAAAGCCAGGGGAGCAAACGGG